Molecule: ribosomal RNA, 300 nt
Filed under: uncultured Halorubrum sp.
Lineage: Archaea; Methanobacteriati; Methanobacteriota; Halobacteria; Halobacteriales; Haloferacaceae
Description: bacterial SSU rRNA
Rfam family: Bacterial small subunit ribosomal RNA (bases 52-300)
Source: RNAcentral
GUUAAGCAGUUGCUGGGUGGCAGGGUAAGGCGUGGGGGGCGGACGUUGGUGGGAAUGGCUGGGUGUAAAGGGUCAGUAGGCGGGGUGGCAAGUAGGGAGUGAAAUGUCUGUGCUCAACGCAGAGGCUGCUUCCGAAACGGGUGGGCUUGAGUGUGGUAGAGGCGCGUGGAAGUGCAGGUGUAGCGGGGAAAUGCGUAGAUAUCUGCAGGAACACCCGUGGCGAAAGCGGCGCGCUGGACCACAACUGACGCUGAAUGACGAAAGCUAGGGGAGCAAACAGGAUUAGAUACCCCUUUAGUC